GCUCGCGUAGCUCAAAUGGAGGAGCACUGGUCUUCUAUACCAGGUGAUGCAGGUUCGACCCCUGCCGCGAGUGCCA
RNAcentral lists this transfer RNA (76 nucleotides) under Nannocystis radixulma. RNAcentral describes it as "tRNA-Arg". It matches the Rfam family "tRNA". From Rfam's summary of the family: Transfer RNA (tRNA) molecules are approximately 80 nucleotides in length. Their secondary structure includes four short double-helical elements and three loops (D, anti-codon, and T loops). Lineage: Bacteria; Pseudomonadati; Myxococcota; Nannocystales; Nannocystaceae. RNAcentral also lists the same sequence under 1 other name. The record is from RNAcentral.